ACUAGACUGAUGAGUGCGAACGGGUGAGUAACGCGUAGGUAACCUGCCUCAUAGCGGGGGACAACUAUUGGAAACGAUAGCUAAUACCGCAUAAGAGUGAUUAACACAUGUUAGUUAUUUAAAAGGAGCAAUUGCUUCACUGUGAGAUGGACCUGCGUUGUAUUAGCUAGUUGGUGAGGUAAAGGCUCACCAAGGCGACGAUACAUAGCCGACCUGAGAGGGUGAUCGGCCACACUGGGACUGAGACACGGCCCAGACUCCUACGGGAGGCAGCAGUAGGGAAUCUUCGGCAAUGGACGGAAGUCUGACCGAGCAACGCCGCGUGAGUGAAGAAGGUUUUCGGAUCGUAAAGCUCUGUUGUUAGAGAAGAACGUUGGUAGGAGUGGAAAAUCUACCAAGUGACGGUAACUAACCAGAAAGGGACGGCUAACUACGUGCCAGCAGCCGCGGUAAUACGUAGGUCCCGAGCGUUGUCCGGAUUUAUUGGGCGUAAAGCGAGCGCAGGCGGUUCUUUAAGUCUGAAGUUAAAGGCAGUGGCUUAACCAUUGUACGCUUUGGAAACUGGAGGACUUGAGUGCAGAAGGGGAGAGUGGAAUUCCAUGUGUAGCGGUGAAAUGCGUAGAUAUAUGGAGGAACACCGGUGGCGAAAGCGGCUCUCUGGUCUGUAACUGACGCUGAGGCUCGAAAGCGUGGGGAGCAAACAGGAUUAGAUACCCUGGUAGUCCACGCCGUAAACGAUGAGUGCUAGGUGUUAGGCCCUUUCCGGGGCUUAGUGCCGCAGCUAACGCAUUAAGCACUCCGCCUGGGGAGUACGACCGCAAGUU
Molecule: ribosomal RNA, 824 nt
Filed under: uncultured Streptococcaceae bacterium
Lineage: Bacteria; Bacillati; Bacillota; Bacilli; Lactobacillales; Streptococcaceae
Description: bacterial SSU rRNA
Rfam family: Bacterial small subunit ribosomal RNA
Source: RNAcentral